CGUUCUGUAAGCCUGUGAAGGUGCGUUGAAAAGCGUGCUGGAGGUAUCAGAAGUGCGAAUGCUGACAUGAGUAGCGUUAAAGGGGUCGAAAGCCCCCUCGCCGUAAGCGCAAGGUUUUCUACGCAACGUUCAUCGGCGUAGAGUGAGUCGGCCCCUAAGGCGAGGCAGAGAUGCGUAGCUGAUGGGAAACAGGUCAAUAUUCCUGUACCGAUGUGCAGUGCGAUGUGGGGACGGAUCUUAAUAGGUCAUCCGGGUGUUGGAUAUCCCGGUUUAUCUGGAUGUAGGCGACGGGCAGGAAAAUCCACCCGUCAUAUACCGAGGCCAGAGAUCGAGCAAGCUUGCUUGUGAAGUGACUGAACGAGGUCCCAGGAAAAGCCACUAAGCUUCAGCUGCACACGACCGUACCGCAAACCGACACUGGUGCGCGAGAUGAGUAUUCUAAGGCGCUUGAGAGAACUCAGGAGAAGGAACUCGGCAAAUUGACACCGUAACUUCGGAAGAAGGUG
RNAcentral lists this ribosomal RNA (506 nucleotides) under uncultured bacterium. RNAcentral's name for it is "bacterial LSU rRNA". It matches the Rfam family "Bacterial large subunit ribosomal RNA", at positions 1237 to 1748 of the family's 2925-position model. The record is from RNAcentral.